UCCUGUCAGUCUAGUGUCUUUCUUUUUGUUUGUUUUGUUUUGUUUUCAGAACACCACGAAAAAAAAAAUCAGAGCCCUCUUUCCUUUGAAGGAAGAUGGAUUUGAAAGGAAAAGAGUGUCUCCUGUUCCUGAGAGUGGGAGACCCCUUCGUUUGUGACCUUCUGGUGUUGCUUUAAGUCUCUUUGCAUGAAAACUUCCCUUCCCACCACAGAAGACUGGCUGCCCUGGCACUGCUGAAGCCUUACUCCAUGUAAAAGUGGUGUGAAUGUUAUUUAUUGGCCAUGGAAUAAAGUCCUGCUGAUCUUGGUGAUGGUCCAGGAUCAUUUAUGUUUCAGACUGUUCUUCUGAUGCAUCCUCAUAGUAACUCAUCUUACAGAUGAGAUGAGAUGAUUACAGAGAUGAGAAAACAGAGACCAUGGGCUGUGUAUACAUGAAUCCAACUGAUUAUUUAUUUAUGACAAGGAGAAUGUCAAAUAGGGAAGGGGAAUCUAUGCAAUAGAAGGAAGAAAAUGAGGGCUGAUUGAAAUGGAAUGAAUCGUUUGUUCUAAGAGGGAAACUAAGGAAAUGUCUUGAAGAGUGAACACAAAGGAAAUGCUAUCAGGAUUCUAGAAAUCUGUUUCAUGGUGGAACUCCUUUGGACCCUGCAUUUAAAUCCCUCUGUUUUCAAUUUAGACAUCAAAGUUUGGGAGUCACCAUCUUACGUGAGACUUACUAGUGUACCGUGACACAUUGGAAAGCCCGAUUGAGACCAGCUGGUGAAGCUUGUGUGGUCUCCUCGUCCUUACUCUUUUGAGUCUAGCCUGAGUGUUAGAGAAUGUAUGAUAAUCUAUACUAUUCAUCCAGCUCCACAGUCAGUAAGAAAGAGGAAUUCUCUUUGUGGAUUUUGUUAUAAACCUCUAGAAUACAAAUACAAACCCUUAAUGAAAUAAUGAAUGUGAGCAAACAUCUUCAGUGGUUGCUAACCUCACAGCGGGGGGAGGAGGCAAUAAAAAAUUAGGUGACUCCUGUUAGAAGUCUACAAUACCACCUAUAAAAUAUUUUUGUCAAAAAAAUAUCAAAGUUUUAUCAAAUCAGGCUUUAGGUUGAACCUAGUAAUUUACAGUGAAUAUAAGGGAAAGAGGAAUAUAUACAAAGGCAGCAUGGGGAUUUAUUCGUCAAAAUUCAGAAUGUGAGAAAGUCUAUAGGACAAACAAUCUGGUUUCCUUGGCACAUAAAUUGCAGGGGGAAAAGGGGGAGAAACUAUAAAUGAAAAGAGACAAUAAAUAUCAAACAAAAACCA
Molecule: long non-coding RNA, 1279 nt
Organism: Felis catus (domestic cat)
Lineage: Eukaryota; Metazoa; Chordata; Mammalia; Carnivora; Felidae
Exons: 3
Source: RefSeq, a predicted model, not a curated record